Molecule: ribosomal RNA, 549 nt
Filed under: uncultured bacterium
Lineage: Bacteria
Description: bacterial SSU rRNA
Rfam family: Bacterial small subunit ribosomal RNA
Source: RNAcentral
UAGGGAAUCUUCGGCAAUGGACGGAAGUCUGACCGAGCAACGCCGCGUGAGUGAAGAAGGUUUUCGGAUCGUAAAGCUCUGUUGUAAGAGAAGAACGAGUGUGAGAGUGGAAAGUUCACACUGUGACGGUAUCUUACCAGAAAGGGACGGCUAACUACGUGCCAGCAGCCGCGGUAAUACGUAGGUCCCGAGCGUUGUCCGGAUUUAUUGGGCGUAAAGCGAGCGCAGGCGGUUAGAUAAGUCUGAAGUUAAAGGCUGUGGCUUAACCAUAGUACGCUUUGGAAACUGUUUAACUUGAGUGCAAGAGGGGAGAGUGGAAUUCCAUGUGUAGCGGUGAAAUGCGUAGAUAUAUGGAGGAACACCGGUGGCGAAAGCGGCUCUCUGGCUUGUAACUGACGCUGAGGCUCGAAAGCGUGGGGAGCAAACAGGAUUAGAUACCCUGGUAGUCCACGCCGUAAACGAUGAGUGCUAGGUGUUAGACCCUUUCCAGGGUUUAGUGCCGCAGCUAACGCAUUAAGCACUCCGCCUGGGGAGUACGACCGCAAGGUU